UUCCGUAGGUGAACCUGCGGAAGGAUCAUUAACAAAAUUCAUUCCAACUCAACCAAGCCUAUUUAUAUGGUGGACCCGAAAGGUGUUAACCAUUAUAAAACUAAAAAUCAAAACAACCUAACUAAGACCUAAACAAAAACCAAAUUCUCAACGGUGGAUGUCUAGGUUCCCACAACGAUGAAGAACGCAGCGAAGUGCGAUAAGCAGUGCGAAUUGCAGAACCGUGAGUCAUCAGAUUUUUGAACGCAACUUGCGCCAAGGUAGCUUGCUGCCUGGCACGUCUGGUCCAGUGUCUUAUUCUCUCAUCACCUAAAUCAUAAUGAUUAAGAUAACCUUCUUAAUCUAAGUAUGAAAGCACUCUGCAAAUGCGCGUGACCUUUUAGGUCGCACUCAAUGCGGUCGUCACGUUCUUAUGAAUGUGAACUCAUUGAGAGCAUUCGUAGUAUUCCUUUGGAGUAAAGUGCUUAGAGAAGUCAACUUAGAACUCGUAUCUGGGCUCAGGUGGGACUACCCGCUGAACUUAAGCAUAUCAAUAAGCGGAGGAAAU
This 547-nucleotide ribosomal RNA is filed under the name uncultured eukaryote. RNAcentral describes it as "eukaryotic LSU rRNA". The stretch from base 143 to 295 matches the Rfam family "5.8S ribosomal RNA". The record is from RNAcentral.